Molecule: ribosomal RNA, 496 nt
Filed under: uncultured bacterium
Lineage: Bacteria
Description: partial 16S ribosomal RNA
Rfam family: Bacterial small subunit ribosomal RNA
Source: RNAcentral
AUGAACGCUGGCGGCGUGCCUAAUACCUGCAAGUCGAGCGAACGGACGAGAAGCUUGCUUUUCUGAUGUUAGCGGCGGACGGGUGAGUAACACGUGGAUAACCUACCUAUAAGACUGGGAUAACUUCGGGAAACCGGAGCUAAUACCGGAUAAUAUUUUGAACCGCCUGGUUCAAAAGUGAAAGACGGUCUUGCUGUCACUUAUAGAUGGAUCCGCGCUGCAUUAGCUAGUUGGUAAGGUAACGGCUUACCAAGGCAACGAUGCAUAGCCGACCUGAGAGGGUGAUCGGCCACACUGGAACUGAGACACGGUCCAGACUCCUACGGGAGGCAGCAGUAGGGAAUCUUCCGCAAUGGGCGAAAGCCUGACGGAGCAACGCCGCGUGAGUGAUGAAGGUCUUCGGAUCGUAAAACUCUGUUAUUAGGGAAGAACAUAUGUGUAAGUAACUGUGCACAUCUUGACGGUACCUAAUCAGAAAGCCACGGCUAACUACGUG